GCUUAGCUCAGCUGCUGCUUACUGUGCCUCGGGCCGACUGAAGGCAGCCGCUCCAGCAAGUUUCUCAGAGGCACACCUGCGCUACCAGAGCUCACAUCGGUGGGAUGGUGGGCUAGCACACACCUGCAGAGUUCUGUCACAUUUUGUGUCACCAAUUCCAGGUGUUCUGCUUAUCAAAGUCGCUGUAAUGGGGGAACAUCGGACAUUUCAGUGAGAGAAAAUGGGGUCUCCAUGUUUAGCUCAACAGGCAGCAUGAUAUGUUCAUAUACAGUCAUUCUAGAUGUGCAGAAGAAGAAAUACCUCAAGAAGACACAGCAGGAGGGCGGUCAUCUGCAAGCCAAAGGGAGGUUCAGAAGAAACCACCUGAGUCUUGGCUUUAGAUUUCUAGCCAGCAGAACUGUAAGAAAAUAAAUUUCUGUAACUGC
Molecule: long non-coding RNA, 425 nt
Filed under: Rattus norvegicus (Norway rat)
Lineage: Eukaryota; Metazoa; Chordata; Mammalia; Rodentia; Muridae
Description: long non-coding RNA NONRATT009538
Source: RNAcentral